Molecule: ribosomal RNA, 429 nt
Filed under: Bacillota bacterium
Lineage: Bacteria; Bacillati; Bacillota
Description: Firmicutes bacterium partial 16S ribosomal RNA
Rfam family: Bacterial small subunit ribosomal RNA
Source: RNAcentral
UAGGGAAUCUUCGGCAAUGGACGGAAGUCUGACCGAGCAACGCCGCGUGAGUGAAGAAGGUUUUCGGAUCGUAAAGCUCUGUUGUUAGAGAAGAACGUUGGUAGGAGUGGAAAAUCUACCAAGUGACGGUAACUAACCAGAAAGGGACGGCUAACUACGUGCCAGCAGCCGCGGUAAUACGUAGGUCCCGAGCGUUGUCCGGAUUUAUUGGGCGUAAAGCGAGCGCAGGCGAUUCUUUAAGUCUGAAGUUAAAGGCAGUGGCUUAACCAUUGUACGCUUUGGAAACUGGAGGACUUGAGUGCAGAAGGGGAGAGUGGAAUUCCAUGUGUAGCGGUGAAAUGCGUAGAUAUAUGGAGGAACACCGGUGGCGAAAGCGGCUCUCUGGUCUGUAACUGACGCUGAGGCUCGAAAGCGUGGGGAGCAAACAGG